This 1074-nucleotide long non-coding RNA is filed under the name Anser cygnoides (Swan goose). Its description in RNAcentral is "lncRNA (ENSACDG00005019350.1)". Lineage: Eukaryota; Metazoa; Chordata; Aves; Anseriformes; Anatidae. The record is from RNAcentral.
CAUUAACGCCUGGGCUUUCGGCUACCUGAGCUGAGCCGGCCGGCUCUGCCUUGGCUGUCGGGGAGGUUUCUCAGAGGAGUCUGGCCAUGGUCCUGGCAGAAGGUACGGCCACACGAGGAAGUUAACACGAGGUAAAACAGGGUGUGAAUUUGAGGCCCAGCAACUGCUCCUCGGCAAUUAAUUGCACAUUCGCCCUGUGGUGAACGCAGAGCUCCAGGAUGCGCUGCAGACCCGCGCCCUGGCGGUGUGCACAUGCGGGGGGCUUGCACAAGGAAUUACCCCGAAAUCUUUCCAGCUGAAAAAUGCCAUGCCGAGAGCUCUGCUGGUAAAUUCCCUCUGCUCGCACGGCUGCAGAGGCUGGGGCUGAAGGAGGUUUUAAUGCACUUAUCUUGCACAGAGCACUUGAAGCAUCUCCUCCAUGCGAGAGGGGGAAGAAUAGAGAGGAAUGCAUGAGGGCAGAGGAGCGCGGCGCGGAGCCUGCUGAGUGUCGGAGGUGGACGGCAGCGAGGCUCUCUGCGAGCAGCCUUUCUCCAGCUGGGUUCCUCUUUUGCAAUUCCAGCGUCUUGUUUCUCGACGAUCCUCCUCUCCUGCGUCCGGCCCCGGGUCCUGCUGCCCCCUCGCCCGGUGCCUGGCCACGGUACCCGCAGCACACCGCAUGGCUGCNNNNNNNNNNNNNNNNNNNNAGGGCUGGGGGAAAUCCCAGGGUUUUGAAGCAUCGCCACGCGCAGGCGGUGGCGGUGAUGGCACUUUAAUCGGUGAGGAGGAAGGUUUUGAAGUCUGUAACUCCCACCAGUAUUGUGGAAAUCCUCCCGAGAUUUACCACCAAAGCCCCAUGGGAAGAGGGUUGGUGCUGGGGCUGGGCUGGGCGCCCACCACCCUGACAGCCCCUGCAAGGGGUUUUUCACCUGAUCUCUUUGCGAGGGGGUUAACACACUUCAAAAAAGGGGACUUUUGGCCCCAGCCCUCACCAAAGCACGGCCUGUGUGGGUGAGAAUACCCUGGCACAGGCCCUUAUCCCAUUGCUGCGAUCCGAAGCUCUUGGGGAGGGCACAGCAACCUUUCUGCAAGCUCAGA